AGUGAACGCUGGCGGUAGGCCUAACACAUGCGAGUCGAACGGCAGCACAGUAAGAGCUUGCCCCUACGGGUGGCGAGUGGCGGAUGGGUGAGGAAUACAUAGGAAUCUACUAUGUCGGGGGGGAUAACGUAGGGAAACUGAUGCUAAUACCGCAUACGACCUACGGGUGAAAGCAGGGGAUCUUCGGACCUUGCGCGACAGAAUGAGCCGAUGCCGGAUUAGCUAGUUGGUGGGGUAAAGGCACACCAAGGCAACGAUCCGUAGCUGGUCUGAGAGGAUGAUCGGCCACACUGGAACUGAGACACGGUCCAGACUCCUACGGGAGGCAGCAGUAGGGAAUCUUGGGCAAUGGGCGCAAGCCUGACCCAGCCAUGCCGCGUGAGUGAAGAAGGCCUUCGGGUUGUAAAGCCCUUUUGUUGGGAAAGAAAAGCAGCAGGUUAAUCCCCCGCUGUUCUGACGGUACCCAAAGAAUAAGCACCGGCUAACUUCGUG
This 492-nucleotide ribosomal RNA is filed under the name uncultured bacterium. RNAcentral's name for it is "partial 16S ribosomal RNA". It matches the Rfam family "Bacterial small subunit ribosomal RNA", at positions 29 to 507 of the family's 1533-position model. The record is from RNAcentral.